This 237-nucleotide ribosomal RNA is filed under the name uncultured bacterium. RNAcentral describes it as "partial 16S ribosomal RNA". It matches the Rfam family "Bacterial small subunit ribosomal RNA", at positions 540 to 776 of the family's 1533-position model. The record is from RNAcentral.
GUUGUCCGGAAUCAUUGGGCGUAAAGCGCGUGUAGGCGGCCCGGUAAGUCCGCUGUGAAAGUCGGGGGCUCAACCCUCGAAUGCCGGUGGAUACUGUCGGGCUAGAGUGCGGAAGAGGCGAGUGGAAUUCCUGGUGUAGCGGUGAAAUGCGCAGAUAUCAGGAGGAACACCAAUUGCGAAGGCAGCUCGCUGGGACGUAACUGACGCUGAGACGCGAAAGCGUGGGGAGCAAACAGG